UUAAUCGCGAUAGGGUGCCGAACAAAAAUAACACGGGCGAAAACGAAAAAGAAAUUUUCGUCUUUGCCCGCGUUAUUUUUGUUCAGCACCCUAUCGCGAUUAACAGAGAGC
This is a non-coding RNA of Paramuricea clavata, 111 nucleotides long. Lineage: Eukaryota; Metazoa; Cnidaria; Anthozoa; Malacalcyonacea; Plexauridae. The record is from the annotation of a GenBank genome assembly.